This 563-nucleotide long non-coding RNA is filed under the name Mytilus galloprovincialis (Mediterranean mussel). Lineage: Eukaryota; Metazoa; Mollusca; Bivalvia; Mytilida; Mytilidae. The record is from RNAcentral.
GCAAUUAUUGAUUUUAUUUUGUAUUAUAUCUUUUAGUAAUACAAAUAAAUAGCCCAUUUUACAUGGGUAGCUACAAAACAAUUGCUAGUGAAAUUUAAUUCCACUUGUUUUCACCCGAUCGAUGAUUGUGACGUCAAUAUUGAGUUUUGAAAAUAUCAAAACAACGCGUUUUCAAAUUUGAAGGCCGACCAGUAGUUAAGAUGAUACAAUUUAAACGAACACUUAAAGUCGCGUUUAAUCUUCUCGUUGAAGGACAAGUAAAUAAGAUUGUAAACCCAUUGAAGUAUUAACGAUAAUGUAGAUUGACCAUUAAAGGAAACGAUUUCUAGAGGUUUUUGUUUAUUCUUUUGAUCUGUUUAUUCGACGGUUACUUUCGUCUCUAAAAACCCAGAAUUAAAAAAAUAAAAAUAAACACAACCACAAAACGAAAAAUACAUUUGUGUAUCUAGUUAAAAGAAAAAAAGAUAACUAACCACAAUAGCAAACAAAGAAAAAUCAUACAGAAAUACUUGAAAGACAAAUGAUUAUCUAAACAGUUGCAUCACUUGUCAACACAAACACAU